RNAcentral lists this ribosomal RNA (301 nucleotides) under uncultured bacterium. RNAcentral describes it as "partial 16S ribosomal RNA". It matches the Rfam family "Bacterial small subunit ribosomal RNA", at positions 509 to 809 of the family's 1533-position model. The record is from RNAcentral.
CAGUAGCCACGGGAAUACGAAGGGUGCAAGCGUUAAUCGGAAUUACUGGGCGUAAAGCGCGCGUAGGUGGUUUGAUAAGUUGGAUGUGAAAGCCCCGGGCUCAACCUGGGAAUUGCAUCCAAAACUGUCUGACUAGAGUAUGGCAGAGGGUGGUGGAAUUUCCUGUGUAGCGGUGAAAUGCGUAGAUAUAGGAAGGAACACCAGUGGCGAAGGCGACCACCUGGGCUAAUACUGACACUGAGGUGCGAAAGCGUGGGGAGCAAACAGGAUUAGAUACCCCAGUAGUCCCUGUCUCUUAUAA